This 381-nucleotide ribosomal RNA is filed under the name uncultured eukaryote. RNAcentral's name for it is "partial 18S ribosomal RNA". It matches the Rfam family "Eukaryotic small subunit ribosomal RNA", at positions 592 to 976 of the family's 1831-position model. The record is from RNAcentral.
CAAUAGCGUAUAUUAAAGUUGUUGCGGUAAAAAAGCUCGUAGUUGGAUUUCUACCGAAGAUAGCCGGUCGGGUCUUCGACCUUGUAUCUGGUUUUGUCUUUGGUAUCCUCAUAGGGAACGUUUCUGCGCUUUAUUGCGUGGUGCGGUAUCUAUGACUUUUACUUUGAGGAAAUUAGAGUGUUCACGGCAGGCAAACGCCUUGAAUAUAUUAGCAUGGAAUAAUAACAUAGGAUCUUCGUCCUAUUUUGUUGGUUUCUAGGGCUAAGAUAAUGAUUAAUAGGGAUAAUUGGGGGCAUCUGUAUCAACGCGUCAGAGGUGUAAUUCUUGGAUUGCGUUGCGACAAACUACUGCGAAAGCAUUUGCCAAGGAUGUUUUCAUUGA